Nymphaea colorata (pocket water lily) is the source of this 421-nucleotide long non-coding RNA. RefSeq lists it as uncharacterized. The transcript is spliced from 2 exons. The record is from RefSeq and is a predicted model, not a curated record. Lineage: Eukaryota; Viridiplantae; Streptophyta; Magnoliopsida; Nymphaeales; Nymphaeaceae.
UCGAAAAGAAAAUUCCACGUGGAGGAACGGAAAUUUUUUCGGACAUUUAUUUUUGCCCGUUAGGGCACGCGAGCGCCGGGUUCCCGUCUUCCUUCUCUUCCUUCCUGUGCCGCAGCUGCUCCCUCUUCUUUCUCGUCGUCUCACACGCAGAACAGGCGCGUCUCCAUUCUCCUCUCCCUCUCCGCAUCAGAGUUCCACUCCACCGGAGCAAUGCAGCCGCGAGCCUCCCGUUCCUCUCUUUCUCGCAAGUUCAUAGGUGAAGGAUCUCUUGACAAUGGAAGGAGCCAUUCUGUUGACAGAGAAACCAUUUUAUCUUUGUUUACUGCAUAUUCAAUUGUAACUUGUAUUUAUUGUUAAGAGUUCUUAUUUGUAAAGGAAUUGUGACUUUUAGUUUUUAUGUAGUUGAGCUUUUCUUUUUAAA